RNAcentral lists this ribosomal RNA (468 nucleotides) under uncultured bacterium. RNAcentral's name for it is "partial 16S ribosomal RNA". It matches the Rfam family "Bacterial small subunit ribosomal RNA", at positions 28 to 507 of the family's 1533-position model. The record is from RNAcentral.
GUCGAACGCUGGCGGCGUGCUUAACACGUGCAAGUCGAACGGAAAGGCCCUGCUUUUGUGGGGUGCUCGAGUGGCGAACGGGUGAGUAACACGUGAGUAACCUGCCCUUGACUUUGGGAUAACUUCAGGAAACUGGGGCUAAUACCGGAUAGGAGCUCCUGCUGCAUGGUGGGGGUUGGAAAGUUUCGGCGGUUGGGGAUGGACUCGCGGCUUAUCAGCUUGUUGGUGGGGUAGUGGCUUACCAAGGCUUUGACGGGUAGCCGGCCUGAGAGGGUGACCGGCCACAUUGGGACUGAGAUACGGCCCAGACUCCUACGGGAGGCAGCAGUGGGGAAUAUUGCACAAUGGGCGGAAGCCUGAUGCAGCAACGCCGCGUGCGGGAUGACGGCCUUCGGGUUGUAAACCGCUUUCGCCUGUGACGAAGCGUGAGUGACGGUAAUGGGUAAAGAAGCACCGGCUAACUACGUG